RNAcentral lists this unclassified non-coding RNA (1203 nucleotides) under Hevea brasiliensis (rubber tree). The record is from RNAcentral. Lineage: Eukaryota; Viridiplantae; Streptophyta; Magnoliopsida; Malpighiales; Euphorbiaceae.
GUGCAAGCUGAUACAUGCGAGGAAGAGUACACAUGAUCCGAUCAAUUCCAUACUUCACUUGUGUGGUAUAGCCACUAAACUCUUGCCCGAGAGUCAAAGGUGUUGCAUCUUGAGUGUGUGUGCGACCAAUUUUGACAAUAUCUUUGAAUUCAGUAGACUUUGAAAGCAGUGUAGUGUGCAAAUUUCUCAAAUUUGGUAUUAAUCUUGAAUUUAUUUCUGUUGCAGCUGCAAUGUGCAUUACAGUUGGGAAGGUAUCAUUAGAAGACUGUGAUCUGUUCACAUGGUCAUUUGGAUGUACAAACUUUUCCCCACGCUUAUGUCCAAGAAUCUCAGCAGCUCUAUUGGCAAUAACCUCAUUUGCAUUCAUGUUACUCUGGGUGCCGCUGCCAGUCUGCCAUACAACAAGUGGGAAAUGAUCAUUUAGCUUCCCUUCAGCCACCUCUUGAGCAGCUUGCAUUAUAGCCUUCCCUAUGGAUGGAUCAAGCCCAUACUCCAUGUUCACCUUGGCAGCGCACUUCUUAAGAAUUCCAAAGGCACGAAUGAUUGGUUCAGGCAUCUGCUCACGCUCGCCGCCAAUUUCAAAAUUUUGCAAUGAUCUUUGAGUUUGUGCACCCCACAACUUAUCAGCGGGAACUUGAAUGGGUCCAAAAGUGUCUCGCUCUUCCCUGAAGGCCGUAGAAUACAAUCUCCAGCUCGCAUGACGCAAUGAAACGACCGUCUGCGAAGUUGUCGAUCCACGAGAAAGGCGCCGAACCACAACCCCCAUCGCCAUUUUUUUUCAACUAAAUCCUAAACGGAGUCGAAGCUGAGACGCUGAAGAUUUGGAGGAUGCGAACGUUGAGGAGUUUGCUUUACCCAACGCGACGGACAGCGACGGAUAAGAAGAUGAAAAUGGAGUCGGGCCCUGAUCGAACACUAGUAAAAUGGCACGUGACGCCGUGAUGGGGAAUUCUUUGGGCUUUUUUUUCUAUUUUUUUUUUUUAAUUCAAUUUUGAGCGUCUGUUUGGGAGCAUGGCUGCGCUACGGUCAAAUAGAGACUGCCAAUGCUGAGUGGAGGAAAGGUGUCCAAUGGGGAUGGGUUGUUCAACUCGAAUGACGGUGUUGCUGCGGGAUUAAUCAUAAAAUCGUUUGCAGCCUACAAUAUUAUCUUCUGUAUUAAGGGUUUUUUAUUUACUUUGAUCAAUAAGCUAAAUUGCGCAAUUA